This 253-nucleotide ribosomal RNA is filed under the name uncultured bacterium. RNAcentral describes it as "partial 16S ribosomal RNA". It matches the Rfam family "Bacterial small subunit ribosomal RNA", at positions 524 to 776 of the family's 1533-position model. The record is from RNAcentral.
UACGAGGGAUCCUAGCGUUGUUCGGAAUCAUUGGGCGUAAAGGGUGUGUAGGCGGCCUUACAAGUCAGUUGUGAAAUCCCCGGGCUCAACCCGGGAAGUGCUUCUGAUACUGUUUGGCUUGAGUACUGGAGAGGUGAGUGGAAUUCCAGGUGUAGUGGUGAAAUACGUAGAUAUCUGGAGGAACGCCGGCGGCGAAGGCGGCUCACUGGCCAUGUACUGACGCUGAAACACGAAAGCGUGGGGAUCAAACAGG